GGUGAUUCCCGGGUGAUGCACCCCAGAAUUGGACUCCCUCCUCUCUAUUCUGAGUGCAUCGCCUGAGAACUGCA
Non-coding RNA from Myotis davidii, 74 nucleotides. The record is from Rfam. NCBI's taxonomy places the organism in Eukaryota, Metazoa, Chordata, Mammalia, Chiroptera, Vespertilionidae.